ACGGAAGGUGCAAGCGUUGCUCGGAAUCACUGGGCGUAAAGGGUGCGUAGGCGGCUUCUUAAGUCUGGUGUGAAAGCCCAGGGCUCAGCUCUGGAAGUGCACUAGAUACUGGGAAGCUUGAGUACCGGAGGGGAGAGUGGAAUUCCUGGUGUAGCGGUGAAAUGCGUAGAUAUCAGGAGGAAUACCGGUGGCGAAAGCGACUCUCUGGACGGUUACUGACGCUGAGGCACGAAAGCGUGGGGAGCAAACAGGAUUAGAUACCCUGGUAGUCCACGCCGUAAACGAUGGGCACUAGGUGUCGGGGGUAUCCACUCCCUCGGUGCCGCCGCUAACGCAUUAAGUGUCCCGCCUGGGAAGUACGGUCGCAAGAUUA
RNAcentral lists this ribosomal RNA (373 nucleotides) under uncultured bacterium. RNAcentral describes it as "bacterial SSU rRNA". It matches the Rfam family "Bacterial small subunit ribosomal RNA", at positions 525 to 896 of the family's 1533-position model. The record is from RNAcentral.